CUGCUAAGACUGGAUAGGAAACAAAAAGGCAUCUUUUUGUUUUUAAAAGACCUUCUUAUGAAGGUAUGCUUAAAGAGGGGCUUGCGCCACAUUAGUUAGUUGGUAGGGUAAAAGCCUACCAAGACGAUGAUGUGUAGCUGGACUGAGAGGUUGAACAGCCACAUUGGGACUGAGACACGGCCCAAACUCCUACGGGAGGCAGCAGUAGGGAAUUUUCGGCAAUGGAGGAAACUCUGACCGAGCAACGCCGCGUGAACGAUGAAGUAUUUCGGUAUGUAAAGUUCUUUUAUUGAAGAAGAAAAAGUAGUGGAAAAACUAUAUUGANGUUAUUCAAUGAAUAAGCCCCGGCUAACUAUGUGCCAGCAGCCGCGGUAAGACAUAGGGGGCGAGCGUUAUCCGGAAUUAUUGGGCGUAAAGGGUGCGUAGGCUGUUAGAUAAGUCUAUAAUUUAAUUUCAGUGCUUAACGCUGUCUUGUUAUAGAAACUGUCUUGACUAGAGUGAGAUAGAGGCAAGCGGAAUUCCAUGUGUAGCGGUAAAAUGUGUAAAUAUAUGGAGGAACACCAGAAGCGUAGGCGGCUUGCUGGGUCUUUACUGACGCUGAGGCACGAAAGCGUGGGUAGCAAACAGGAUUAGAUACCCUGGUAGUCCACGCCGUAAACGAUGAGUACUAAGUGUCGGGGUAAAACUCGGUACUGAAGUUAACACAUUAAGUACUCCGCCUGAGUAGUACGUACGCAAGUAUGAAACUUAAAGGAAUUGACGGGACUCCGCACAAGCGGUGGAUCAUGUUGUUUAAUUCGAAGAUACACGAAAAAUCUUACCAGGUCUUGACAUACUCUGCAAAGCUAUAGAAAUAUAGUGGAGGUUAUCAGGGAUACAGGUGGUGCAUGGUUGUCGUCAGUUCGUGUCGUGAGAUGUUAGGUUAAGUCCUAAAACGAGCGCAACCCUUGUCGUUAAUUGCCAGCACGUAAUGGUGGGGACUUUAGCGAGACUGCCAAUUAAACAUUGGAGGAAGGUGAGGAUUACGUCAAAUCAUCAUGCCCCUUAUGAUCUGGGCUACAAACGUGAUACAAUGGCUGUGACAAAGAGUAGCUGAAACGCGAGUUUUUAGCCAAUCUCAAAAAAGCAGUCUCAGUUCGGAUUGAAGUCUGUAACUCGACUUCAUGAAGUUGGAAUCGCUAGUAAUCGCGAAUCAGCAUGUCGCGGUGAAUACGUUCUCGGGGUUUGUACACACCGCCCGUCAAA
Molecule: ribosomal RNA, 1245 nt
Filed under: Candidatus Phytoplasma trifolii
Lineage: Bacteria; Bacillati; Mycoplasmatota; Mollicutes; Acholeplasmatales; Acholeplasmataceae
Description: bacterial SSU rRNA
Rfam family: Bacterial small subunit ribosomal RNA
Source: RNAcentral